GUGCCAGCCGCCGCGGUAAUACGAAGGGGGCUAGCGUUGUUCGGAAUUACUGGGCGUAAAGCGCGUGUAGGCGGGUCUUUAAGUCAGGGGUGAAAUGCCAAGGCUCAACCUUGGAACUGCCUUUGAUACUGGAGACCUUGAGUCCGGGAGAGGUGAGUGGAAUUGCGAGUGUAGAGGUGAAAUUCGUAGAUAUUCGCAAGAACACCAGUGGCGAAGGCGGCUCACUGGCCCGGAACUGACGCUGAGACGCGAAAGCGUGGGGAGCAAACAGGAUUAGAUACCCUGGUAGUCC
This 292-nucleotide ribosomal RNA is filed under the name uncultured bacterium. Its description in RNAcentral is "partial 16S ribosomal RNA". It matches the Rfam family "Bacterial small subunit ribosomal RNA", at positions 505 to 796 of the family's 1533-position model. The record is from RNAcentral.